CACUGCCCCAAGUAGAUGCACAUCCCAAGGUUCAAUAUCCAGGAUACAGACUUUAUGUUCAGCCACCAUUGUUGGUGCAACCAACUAUGAUCCGGGAAGCACUAACUUAUUCACCUCAUCUCCUUCCCCCUCAGACAUCGGAAUCCGUUCGGAUUCGGGGUCAGACCCCUCCUCCGGGAUCAGUCACUCUCAAUCUUUCGAUUUGAGUACCUC
RNAcentral lists this long non-coding RNA (213 nucleotides) under Lathyrus oleraceus (garden pea). Its description in RNAcentral is "Pisum sativum (pea) long non-coding RNA (PSAT_LNC029316)". Lineage: Eukaryota; Viridiplantae; Streptophyta; Magnoliopsida; Fabales; Fabaceae. The record is from RNAcentral.